Molecule: non-coding RNA, 5130 nt
Organism: Ictidomys tridecemlineatus (thirteen-lined ground squirrel)
Lineage: Eukaryota; Metazoa; Chordata; Mammalia; Rodentia; Sciuridae
Source: RefSeq, a predicted model, not a curated record
GAGAAAGAAGACACCAGGAACCGGCUCCGCACCCCUGCCCUUCCCCCAGCCCUCCUGCAGCAGCGCAGACUUAGCAGCAGGGAGAUCUUGGAGAGAAGGAGGGAGAGGAGAGCAAGAGGAGAGAGGCACUGAUGCAGAGUUGAGGAGAGGCAGAGCCCGCACACCUUGCGCUUCUGCAGGACGCUCCUGCACCCCCAGUCGGGCGGGCGGCACAAGGUAGAGGUCAGGGCGGAACAAAAGGGAAGACCUGCGGAGCCCUGUCCUGUCCCCAGACCUGGAGUCGCCCUGCACCCAGGACCGGCUGAGUGUAGCCAGAGGGAAGCCUGGAGAGCCAGGGGAGGGAGCCCCAGCCCCAGGAUGUGGAGGACAGCUACCCUCGACCUGACCGGGGGGCCCUGGAGUCUGGGUAAGUGGAAGCAUGCCCUUGGUGUCCCCAGGGGGACACCUGCAUCCGGGCCAUAGGGCACCUCGUCCCAGGUGGGGACCUCACUGUGCAGGCAAGAGGAGGGUGGGCCCCGGCUGCUGAGCCGUGUCCAGAGGGUGGCUAUAGAGCUGGGCCAGGGGAGCAGCUGCCCGUCCAGGAGCGUCCCCUUUGCUGCAUGGGACUCCACAGGCAGGAGCCCCGUGUGCACCCAUGCUUGGUCUUGGGCUGGGGCACCGUGCCACCUGACCCCCACCUGGGCUCGGCCUCACUCCGGUCCCCGCAGAGUGGCCUGAGUGAUCCCUGUGCCCCGCUGAGGGGGUGGGGGAGAGGUCCUCAGUGGGACCCACUCCCCACACCUGCUGUCCCCCUCCUCGCAAUCCCGUCCAGCCACUUUCCUCCAGCACUACUGACGGGGCCAGUCCAGCGUGUGUAGCGAGGCGUGGCCAGCCCAAGGGUCUGCAGGCCCCUCUGCUGGAAGUUCUGGUGCAGGGGAGGGACCUCUGUCACCCAGAACCUGCUCCAGUUUCCUGCCCCACAGCACCGGCUGGGGGAGGCUGCCCCUGAGGUCACCUCACCUGGUCAGCUCCGUCCUCCCUGUGUCACAGCAGGGAGGCCUCAGGCCAGCCCAGAGUCGGCUGUCUGAGCUACCUCACGGCGGCAGGGUGGGCUGGGCACUCCUGUGCGAGGAGGAGCUGAGCUGUGGGCAAGUUCCCGACAGGGCUCGGCUACGGCCACAGCGUUGUCCCAGUCCCUCAGGAUAGCCCUUUGGAGUGGGAGCCCCGGACAGUGUCACUUCUACUUAGUAAAUGAGUGGACGAGGGACUCCAUCAAUCAACUGCUGAUAGAUCCACUGGCCACUGGACAACUAGGUCCAGGGCAGUGCAUCUCAGGGCCAGAGAUUCUGGCUGGAACCUGUUCAGGUGUGUCCAGCUGUGGGGCUAGGGGUGAUCCUGGGGUCCCAUGGGGGGCAGGACAGGAUCAGUACAGUCCCAGGCGGGGUCACCCCUACCAGGAAGGUGCUUCAAGAACCACAGUGGUAAGGGUCCCCGUCAGCAGAAGUUGUGCUGGACCCUCCCAAGGCUGCAUCUGUGGGCUCCCAGCUACUGCACCUGACACCUCGGGAAGCCCAUCACCCAGGAAAAUGAGGCAAAGACCCCGCCACCUCAGGGCUCCGUUCAGCAAGCUCUUGGGCUGUCUCCUGUGAUUUACACCUCAUCAAGGGCCCGUCCUCGACCCUGGACGAGGAGCAGGAUGGGUGCCAGGUCCCCUCAUCAGAGAGACUGCACCUGACAUUCUCUCCUGGGGACACAUGAGCAUUCACCUCUCAGCACAGCGUGGAGACGAAGCAGAGCCCAGUGUACAUCCCACACCUCAGAUGACCCCCGCUGGCGGAGCCAUCGGGAAACAGCCAGGGAGCUGCUCCAGCUGAGCCUGUGGACACGGAUGCUGGAGGCACCCAGAGAGAAGGCUGGCACACAGGGGCCUGGCCUAUCCAGGAGCCCCAUGAUCCUCCCUGCCCAGGACCUGCCAGGCUCUGCCAGCUCUGGUCAAUGCCAGAAAACAUCUGGGCCCUGGUCAGCUGGACAUUUCUCUUCUGUCUGAGUGCCACAGUCAUGCCUCUAGCUCCCAGGUGUCUCGUCUCUGUGGACUUCACACGCAUCUCUCCCAGCUGCCCCCCCACAAGCAAAGCGGCUGCCAGCAGAUCCAUGCCACCCUCUAGGAGGCCCACCAGGACUGCAGCCCCAGUGCCUCUGCACUCUCUCUCCAGCUGGACCCUGGCCCUGGGUGGCCAAGAAGGAGGAAAGGAAGGAGCAGCAGGAAGGACCACAGGCCCUCUCUGGGCUGAAACAUAACCGGGGGCCACAGAGCAGGGGAGGCCUGAGGGGCGCUGGGGAAAUCGAAGCCGACCCUGACCAGUGUGUGCAGGCCCCCUGCAGCCUCCGUCCUGGAGGAAGCCCUGAGUGCACAGCUGCCCGCCGCCUGAGCCUCUGCUGCCCUGGGUGGGAGGCUGCCCUGAGUCCGGAAGGCUCAGCCUCCUGGUGGGUUUUCUCAGGAAGCUGCUUGACAGCACAGGUCACCACCUAAGCCCUCAACUCCAGGCGAAAGUCCUUUGACCCACUCAACACAGAGCCAUCCUUUCCCCUGAGACACCACCCCGGGAUGUCCCCUGAGACAGGGGGUAGGGUCCCUGUGGCCCCCAGGAGGGGCAUCCAGACCCACUUCAGGGAGAGGGCCAUAAUCAGCCCACCUCAGGGACAGAGUGUGAGCGCAUGGCCAAGCAGGCAGGCCCUGGGGCCCAGGGCCACUCUCCCACUGGCCUCUGAAUUUUCUCAGAUCGCAUCUCCCAUCAGGACAGGUGGGCGGUGUCUCCGGCUGUGCUGGGAGGAGGUGAGCAUUCCGUGCUCCUCUCCAGUGCUCCCACGUGCGCCAGCGGCCACCUCCAGUUCCACCUCUGUGAGCCCUGCCCCCACUGCCCCCGGGAGAUGCAGCAGGGGUGUCAGAGGAGCCCUGCAGGCCAGGCAUGGGUGCUGGAGAACCCUGGUGGGAGUGCCUGAUCCCCCUCUCCCACACGGCGGGUCCUUUCUGGGUCCCCACCCUCCCUUCCUACCAGGAUCCCCAUGUCCCUCUCCCUCCCCACCAAGCAGAGCUUCCCCCGAGUCUGGGGAAGGGUUCUGGUGUUGGGGCCCAGGACACUUGCAUCCCCUUCAUCUUCAAACCAGUCAGCCCACACGGUUGCUCCUGAGGGGCUGGGGCCAGGCCAGGGCCUCUGUCCAGGCAGAGCUAGGGAUGUCACCUGCCCAUCUGUGCAGACUUGGUGAAGCUGCACGGAGAGCAGGUUUGGGACAGAGGACUCUUGCUCCAAGUGCCUGAAGGACAUACCUUUGAGCCACCAGGGUCCCCCUUGCUUGGUGGAGCCCUGCCCCUCCUCCUUCCCUGGGGCUCACUGAAGCCCCCUUGGAGGGGCAGGGCUCCAAGGCAAACUGUGGGGCCCCUGGGGCUGUCCUGUCCAGGUCACCUGGGAUAGACCCUGGCAGGGCCCUGCCUCCUCAUCACCAGCCCCAGAAGCUUGGGGUCCCUCCAGCAGAGGCCAAGUUCUCAGCUUCUCCCUGCACUUGGCCUCGGCCUCCGCCUCCUCCCGAAGGGCCCUGGGAGGGGCGCAGGCCCUGGCUCCCUUGAUCUUUAGCAUGAGCUCCCCACCUGCUUGGCCUAGAGGGCUCCUGGGGUCUCCCCUCCCAGGGCCGCCCCUGGCGUGUCCUCUGGAAGCCGCAGUUGGUCUGCUUCUUGUCACUGCCCUGAGAAUAUUCAUUCUGGGAUUGUUACAAAGGUACUUAAAAAACAAGUUCACUUGGAUAAGGGUCUGAACUGCUGCCAGGCACAGCUGCCGGAGGAGCCCGCGAGGAUGGGGGCAGGACGCCCUUCCCAGGGCCCCCGCGGGCCCUCUCUGGGGUUUUGUUUAAUUUGGGAUGCGUCUCUGUUCCCUGCGUAUAACAUUUACAAAUGUCACAGCGUGCUUGAGCUAUGAGGGGUCUGAGCCCUCCCCGAGGUAGACACCACGAGGGCCCUGGGCCAAGCCCCGAGUCCUGGGCAGGGACAUCCCAAUGCUGUCCGUCUCUGCAGGCAGCUGCUUCUGCAGCCCGUGUGCACUCUGGGGCCUGAGCUGCCUUGUCCUGAGCUGUCAUGGUGCCAGUCUUGAUCUCCAUCCCCAAAACCUCAAUCAGCAUAGGGAUGUGUCCCCAGGGCCAUCUGAAGAUCUUGCUGUGAGGGGAUGGUCACUACCCCAGAGAGGCUGUGGGAGGGCACAGCAGUGCCCAGCCAUAGGUGGGGGAGCCUCAGAGUGCUGGGGAGAGGUCACAGACCCAGAAGGUGCCACGGACCCUCUGCCGGUGUCAGGCCCCAGGUUGAGCACUUCCUGCAGCACUGCAUCCCACGCUCAGCAGUGCUGCCUGGCAUGGGCCAAGGGAACGCCACCCUGUGCAGACGUUCCCCGUGGAGGGGUGAUGAGGAGGGUUUCUACAGUGUGCAAGAAGAGGACCAGGCCUGGCUGCAGCCAGUUCCCAUGUCACCACCUGGGGAUCUGCUCCCCCUGGUGUGCUCUGCCUGCAGCCCAGGCACCCUGGACAUCCCACUAUCUCAGUCAGCUUUUCCUCACCGUGGCCAAAAUACCCCUAAAUAAAACAGGAGGGAAAGCUUAUUUGGGGCUCACAGCUUCAGAGGCCUCAGUCCGCAGCCCUGGGCCCAGGGUGCACACCAUGGGGGAGGGGCCCAACAGAGGGGAGCUGCCCCCUCCAUGCAGCCAGGAAGCAGAGAGAGGGGGAAGGGGCCGCAGGGAAGAGGCGCCUUCCAGGGCAGCCCCAUGACCACCUCCCACCACGCCCACCUGCAGUCUCCACCUAUCAGUCCACUCCAGCCAGGUGGGCUGCUGAGGUCGCAGCCCUCAGUCCAGCUGUGUCACCUCUGAACUCCCUGCACCAGCACAGGGGCACUGGGGGCCUCCUAAUAUCCAAACCAUGACAUUGUGCCCCUGGCUCCUAAAAGCUAAAGCCCAUCUCAAGAGCAGAAUGCAUUCAGUCAGUCCUGACAAGUCCCAUGUCUUAACAUUCCAGCAUUACUCAGAGUCCGACUCCAGAGUCUCCUCCGAGACCCAAGGCGAACUCCCAGCAUGAGCCCUGUAAAAAUAAAAAACAGAUUCAUGUGUUCAAAAUACA